CCCUUAGAUGUUCUGGGCCGCACGCGUGCUACACUGAGUGGAUCAGCGGGUCAGGUUGCGCGGAAGCGUUUCCUAAUCUUUAAAUCCGCUCGUGAUGGGGAUUGACGGUUGUAAUUUUCUGUCAUGAACGAGGAAUACCUUGUAAGCGCGGGUCAUCAUCCCGCGCUGAAUACGUCCCUGCCCUUUGUACACACCGCCCGUCGCUCCUACCGAUUGAGUGGUCCGGUGAGGCUUUGGGAUCUGAGCGGAAAGAGCGUUUCGCUGUUUCUGCUCGGAAAACUCAGUCGAACCUUAUCAUUUAGAGGAAGGAGAAGUCGUAACA
RNAcentral lists this ribosomal RNA (322 nucleotides) under uncultured eukaryote. RNAcentral describes it as "partial 18S ribosomal RNA". It matches the Rfam family "Eukaryotic small subunit ribosomal RNA", at positions 1470 to 1796 of the family's 1831-position model. The record is from RNAcentral.